UGUUUUUUGGCGGGAAAAUUACGAGUUAACGUUUUUGGCGGGAAAAUUACGAAUUUACGUUUUUGGCGGGAAAAUCACGGGUUUACGUUUUUGGCGGGAAAAUCACAGGAUUUACAUUUUUGGCGGGAAAAUCUUGGGUUUACGUUUUUGGCGAGAAAAUCUUGGGUUUACGUUUUUUGCAGGAAAAUCACGGGUUUACUUUUUUGGCGGGAAAAUCACGGGUUUAUGUUUUUUGGUGGAAAAAUUACGAGUUUACUUUUUCUCAAUUUCAUCGAUUGUAUAUUUAAGAAAUUUGGAAAAAUAUUAAUUUUAUUAAAUUGGUUUAGAUGUGUUGGUUAAACUUAAAUUGACAUUGGUUUAGAGAUUUUAGUUGGUUUAAUUCAAUUUUACAAAACUUAUUGGGUUAAUUGGGUAAACCAUUAAAACCAUUAACCAUUACAACCCAACUCAUUUUACUCAUCAAACCAAUUGACUCAUCAACUCAUUUGACCCAUCAACUCAUUUGAGUCAAAAAUUUUAACUCAUUAGGGUUCAUGGAUUGAGUUGAGUUGAGUUGACCAUGAAUUUUGACCCAUUUUGACACCCCUAGUUUAGAGUUAUAGAAAACUGUAAAACACUAAAAAUAAUACAUUUAUAAUCAACAUUUAAUAUGUUUUCUUAAUAUGUGUGUUUUUCUAAACAAUCAAACAAAAAUGAACGGAGGAAGUACUAAUUAAGUAAUUAGUGAGAAACUGUAUUAACCGUUCACUAGUUAAGCUCAUAAAACUAAUUCUCAUU
RNAcentral lists this small RNA (777 nucleotides) under Arabidopsis thaliana (thale cress). Its description in RNAcentral is "ATSL007820". The record is from RNAcentral. Lineage: Eukaryota; Viridiplantae; Streptophyta; Magnoliopsida; Brassicales; Brassicaceae.